CAGCACUUGUGACUCCAGAGUCACACUACAGACAGAGAGUGGUGGAAUGUUUCUAUCCAUCACCAACAUUCAACCAUCUGAUGAAGGGAACUACACCUGUGAGUGUGUAAAUCAUGGAGGAAUAAAUGUUUUGCACCUCAACGUUUCUGUCAAUGGACCCCAUGUCACAAACAACCUUUCUUUCCAUUUCAUGAUAAUAACAGCCUUUGCAGGAUUUGUAGCCGUCGUUGUCGUUGCUGGAAUAAUCAUGAGGAAAUGUCAUCUCAGGAGGAGCAACAGGACAUUGAGCCCUACAGCAUGUUAACAAGGAGAGACAAUGGGCUGUACUCAACACUCCAGCUGCCUCAUCCUAACCCCUGACCCUCUGGCUCCGUUGACCAAUGACGACAUGGCAUUAGACACCUUUUUCUAUCACUAGGGGUUAAAUAGUAUUUCACCAGCCCUGGAUAUACAACUGUACAGUAUAUCCAUUUACUGUAUAUCUUGAAUACUGUAAUGCCCCUAUUUCUACAGCUGAUACACUUCGACUUUAUAUAGUUCCAUUGAUUGGUUGCUGACACCUGGCUGAAUAGAUCCUAUACUGUAGAUCGUCUUCUGUAGCUGUAAAUAUCAGCGCUUACUUUAUGAAUCCUGCACAUUAUGUUACAUAGAACCAAUGU
Molecule: long non-coding RNA, 659 nt
Organism: Coregonus clupeaformis (lake whitefish)
Lineage: Eukaryota; Metazoa; Chordata; Actinopteri; Salmoniformes; Salmonidae
Exons: 3
Source: RefSeq, a predicted model, not a curated record